This is a long non-coding RNA of Phacochoerus africanus (Common warthog), 834 nucleotides long. RefSeq lists it as uncharacterized. The transcript has 5 exons. Lineage: Eukaryota; Metazoa; Chordata; Mammalia; Artiodactyla; Suidae. The record is from RefSeq and is a predicted model, not a curated record.
CUGGGCACUCGCAGGCCUCGGUUUCCACGCCAGGAACCGUUUGAGCCAGCCUGGGGCUGCCUUUGGAGUCGCAGCUGCUUCCGCCUUCUGUCCUGAGAAUUCCUGGGAGGGUCCAGCCAAGCUGAUCUGUUCCUGACUGGCCUUCAUCACUUCCGAUGAGGUCAUUUCUCUUCCUGCUGCAUAACCUGUUUUGGGGAUCCGAGGAGGAGGUUCCUUUCACCCCAAGGAAGAACUCCGAAUGGAUCUACUGCAGGAGCUGGAGGAGAACAGUCAUCCGAGGGCUCUGGGUCCUCAGCCAAGGAGGAGUGGAAACAACGACAGAAAAGCUGGAAAACCUGAGACCCGGGAGCAGAGACCUGCCUGAUGACAUGCCUCGAGGGGAACAGAGUCAACCCUGGAACCCAGGCCCACCCCACCCAGCACCCCUGUGGGUGCCUGGCCUGUGUGCGUGAGGUGGGAGUGGAGAGCGGAGGAAACUCUUGAAUGGUCAGAAACAAGAGUCUAGAGUCCAUGAAACCACACCAGCCGACAAUCAGUCAACAAACAUUAAUUGAGCAGCUACUCUGUGCCAGGCUUCUAGGUACAUGGGAUGCAACGGUCAAGCAAACGAACACCUCGGUUUUUAAGAAGCUUACAUUCAAGGGAGAGUUCUCAUUGUCCUGUGAUAAAACGUGGGGAGACAGAUGAUGAAAAGCCCACCUGACCUCAUCCAGUUCAGCCAGCCUGGAGGCCAAGGGAUGAAGCAUUUGACAUCUGUAGGAGUUCCUGUUGUGGCUCAGUGGGUUAAGGAACCCGACAUUGUCUCUGUCGAGGAUAUAGGUUCGAUUCCUGGCC